GGAACAGCUCAAGGGGUUGCCAUGCUCGUCAUACUCAUAGCUCUUCUUUGCUGUGGGCUGUGCAAUGGGGCAUUGACAGAGGAGAUUGGUGAGUUUUUUCCUGCUCCAGACUGGGACAUUCCUCUCUGGAGAUCCGAAAUAACUACAGAGUGUCAGUGUCAGUGCCCAGGGAGUGACUGGUUGGGAGGGAAGGACAGCCAGGAAGGGGCACUUGUUAAAGCUACUGGCAACGUUCAGUCUCCAACUUUGUCUUUCUGCCUGUAAAAAUUUCCUUCAGGCUCCUGCACUUUUGUGAGGCUCAGCUGAGAC
Molecule: long non-coding RNA, 309 nt
Filed under: Rattus norvegicus (Norway rat)
Lineage: Eukaryota; Metazoa; Chordata; Mammalia; Rodentia; Muridae
Description: long non-coding RNA NONRATT031305
Source: RNAcentral